This 253-nucleotide ribosomal RNA is filed under the name uncultured bacterium. RNAcentral's name for it is "partial 16S ribosomal RNA". It matches the Rfam family "Bacterial small subunit ribosomal RNA", at positions 524 to 776 of the family's 1533-position model. The record is from RNAcentral.
UACGUAGGUGGCAAGCGUUGUCCGGAUUUACUGGGCGUAAAGGGCGUGCAGGCGGUUUGUUAAGUGCAGGGUGAAAGCUCCCGGCUCAACUGGGAGAGGUCCUUGCAUACUGGCGAACUCGAGGGAGGCAGAGGAAAGUGGAAUUCCCGGUGUAGUGGUGAUAUGCGUAGAUAUCGGGAGGAACACCCGUGGCGAAGGCGGCUCUCUGGGACGGUACUGACGCUGAGACGCGAAAGCGUGGGGAGCGAACAGG